UAGGGGGCAAGCGUUAUCCGGAUUUACUGGGUGUAAAGGGAGCGUAGGUGGCAGGGCAAGUCAGAUGUGAAAACCCGGGGCUCAACCCCGGGAGUGCAUUUGAAACUGUCCGGCUGGAGUGCAGGAGAGGUAAGCGGAAUUCCUAGUGUAGCGGUGAAAUGCGUAGAUAUUAGGAGGAACAUCAGUGGCGAAGGCGGCUUACUGGACUGUAACUGACGUUGAGGCUCGAAAGCGUGGGGAGCAA
Molecule: ribosomal RNA, 244 nt
Filed under: uncultured bacterium
Lineage: Bacteria
Description: partial 16S ribosomal RNA
Rfam family: Bacterial small subunit ribosomal RNA
Source: RNAcentral